CGCCGUAAACGAUGAAUACUCGUUGUCUGCAAUAUAACGUAGGCGACUGAGCGAAAGCAUUAAGUAUUCCACCUGGGGAGUACGUUGGCAACAAUGAAACUCAAAGGAAUUGACGGGGGCCCGCACAAGCGGAGGAACAUGUGGUUUAAUUCGAUGAUACGCGAGGAACCUUACCCGGGUUUAAAUGUAGGACGAAACUCUGAGAGAUCGGAGCCUCUUCGGACGGACUACAAGGUGCUGCAUGGCUGUCGUCAGCUCGUGCCGUGAGGUGUCGGGUUAAGUCCCAUAACGAGCGCAACCCCUAUCGUUAGUUGCUAACAGGUUAAGCUGAGGACUCUAGCGAGACUGCCACCGUAAGGUGUGAGGAAGGUGGGGAUGACGUCAAGUCAGCACGGCCCUUAUAUCCGGGGCUACACACGUGUUACAAUGGUCGAUACAAAGGGCAGCUACACAGUGAUGUGAUGCAAAUCUCAAAAAUCGAUCUCAGUUCGGAUUGAAGUCUGCAACUCGACUUCAUGAAGGUGGAUUCGCUAGUAAUCGUGCAUCAGCAACGGCACGGUGAAUACGUUCCCGGGCCUUGUACACACCGCCCGUCAAGCCAUGGAAGUUGGGAGUACCUGAAGUCUGUAACCGCAAGGAGCGGCCUAAGGUAAAACCAGUAACUGGGGCUAAGUCGUAACAAGGUA
Molecule: ribosomal RNA, 686 nt
Filed under: uncultured bacterium
Lineage: Bacteria
Description: bacterial SSU rRNA
Rfam family: Bacterial small subunit ribosomal RNA
Source: RNAcentral